Molecule: ribosomal RNA, 460 nt
Filed under: uncultured bacterium
Lineage: Bacteria
Description: partial 16S ribosomal RNA
Rfam family: Bacterial small subunit ribosomal RNA
Source: RNAcentral
CCUACGGGAGGCAGCAGUGAGGAAUAUUGGUCAAUGGGCGCGAGCCUGAACCAGCCAAGUCGCGUGCAGGAUGACUGCCCUACGGGUUGUAAACUUCUUUUAUACAGGGAUAAAGUGAGGCACGCGUGUCUUUUUGUAAGUACUUUAUGAAUAAGGAUCGGCUAACUCCGUGCCAGCAGCCGCGGUAAUACGGAGGAUCCAAGCGUUAUCCGGAUUUAUUGGGUUUAAAGGGUGCGUAGGUGGGUUGUUAAGUUAGUUGUGAAAGUUUGGGGCUCAACCUCAGAAUUGCCAUUGAUACUGGCAGCCUUGAGUGCAGUUGAGGUAGGCGGAAUUUGUGGUGUAGCGGUGAAAUGCUUAGAUAUCACGAAGAACUCCGAUUGCGAAGGCAGCCUACCAAACUGCCACUGACAUUGAGGCUCGAAAGUGUGGGGAGCAAACAGGAUUAGAUACCCCAGUAGUC